GUCGUUCCUCGUUAGAAUGAGGCGUUUGCACAAACACAGGCUGCUACCCAGAAACGUCGAAAGACGCCAAUGCGGUCAACAGGUUCUGCCGGAUUAAGGCUUAACCUAAUGCAGCUGGCCCCAGGCCUACGUUGUGCUCUGCCAAAAUCCAACCAGAGGGGAAUUGG
This 167-nucleotide small RNA is filed under the name Pelobacter propionicus. RNAcentral's name for it is "Magnesium sequence". It matches the Rfam family "M-box riboswitch aptamer (ykoK leader)". From Rfam's summary of the family: M-box riboswitch, also know as ykoK leader is described as a metaloregulatory RNA that sense divalent metals and function as a genetic control element of genes related to divalent metal transport in bacteria. Lineage: Bacteria; Pseudomonadati; Thermodesulfobacteriota; Desulfuromonadia; Desulfuromonadales; Desulfuromonadaceae. RNAcentral also lists the same sequence under 1 other name. The record is from RNAcentral.